GACGAACGCUGGCGGCGUGCUUAACACAUGCAAGUCGAACGGAAGGGCCCUGCUUUUGUGGGGUGCUCGAGUGGCGAACGGGUGAGUAACACGUGAGUAACCUGCCCUUGACUUUGGGAUAACUUCAGGAAACUGGGGCUAAUACCGGAUAGGAGCUCCUGCUGCAUGGUGGGGGUUGGAAAGUUUCGGCGGUUGGGGAUGGACUCGCGGCUUAUCAGCUUGUUGGUGGGGUAGCGGCUUACCAAGGCUUUGACGGGUAGCCGGCCUGAGAGGGUGACCGGCCACAUUGGGACUGAGAUACGGCCCAGACUCCUACGGGAGGCAGCAGUGGGGAAUAUUGCACAAUGGGCGGAAGCCUGAUGCAGCAACGCCGCGUGCGGGAUGACGGCCUUCGGGUUGUAAACCGCUUUCGCCUGUGACGAAGCGUGAGUGACGGUAAUGGGUAAAGAAGCACCAGCUAACUACGUG
This 468-nucleotide ribosomal RNA is filed under the name uncultured bacterium. Its description in RNAcentral is "partial 16S ribosomal RNA". It matches the Rfam family "Bacterial small subunit ribosomal RNA", at positions 28 to 507 of the family's 1533-position model. The record is from RNAcentral.